ACCUGCCUCCACCGUCACCCGCCACCCUCGCCACAAGUACAUGCGUACAUUCCUCAUUUGGCCACUACUCACCUUUGAGGACUUGCUGGGUUAAUUCUCUGCUGCCACACUGUUUAGCCAUUUCUUCCUGGGCUGUGUGCUGUCCUUGAUGGCCCAUGAGCUUCCCACCGUGCCCUAAUCCAAC
Molecule: long non-coding RNA, 184 nt
Organism: Capra hircus (goat)
Lineage: Eukaryota; Metazoa; Chordata; Mammalia; Artiodactyla; Bovidae
Exons: 3
Source: RefSeq, a predicted model, not a curated record